UCGCGAGUUGCUUGAAUCCGAGCCAGAACUGCGUCAAAAUGCCUAAACGCAAACCUCCAAAGACCACUGCAAUGAUAUAACUUUCACGAGCAAACAAAAAGUCAUUAACAAUGCGAAAGACGACACUUUUAUCAUAAGGUCCAGCAACGGAUCUAUAAAGGCCACGAGCAAUCGUUGCUGGAUAUGUAAUGUCAAGCUGUUGUGAACGUCAUUUGCGUUUUGACGGGUUCAGACAUUUUGUCGGAAAUGUCACGACAGAGGGUUUUGAUGGUGGCGCGGAAGGCGUAACGAUUUCCAGGUGGUUUCACCGGCGGAUAUUUGAUGUUGAUGGCGGAUUUUUGAGGGUGGAUCGGUUUUUAUUGGUCGUUUUGGGGUUGAGGUUUCGGUGGUGUUUGGGUGGCGCACAGUAGAGACGCGGAGGUUGUGUGAAUCAGAGAAGAACGGCGAAUGGGUUUGUGAGGUGAUUUUCGGCGAUGGUUUUGUUAAUUCGCGGGUGGAACGAAGGUGAAGAUGGAGUGAGGGUUUUCGGUGGAGAUUUUGAACAGUGGAGGGUUGAGCGGAUCGUUGGAGAUGAUUAAUGGUGAUGGUGAGUUUUCUGUUUGGUGAUGGGUUUCGGACGGUGGAUUGUGGUUGAAACGUGAAGAAGGUUUGAAGCGUGGCGGUGAUGGUGGUUUCGGUUGGUCUAGGUGAUGGAGUGAGGCGAGCGGCGAUUGAAGGUGAUGAAGAUGGAUGAUGAAAUAGUGGGUAGGCGUGGUUUAGGUGAGAGAAACGUGAGGGAAUGUGAGUGGAUCGUGUCGGAUUUUUGUUUUUUCUGCUGAGUGUGAGAGGAUAAGAAGAAAAAUCUUUUUUCCAUUUUGUUUUCUUUUUCAGAGAGAUAAUGGGAAGAGAGAUUUGUGAGGGAGUGUGAGAUAUUUGUGAGAUAACAGCUGGCAGACCGUUGGGAGAGUUUUUUUAUUUUUUCUUUUUUUGUUUUUUAUGUAAGGAGGGAAUCCAAUGCACACAAUUUUUUUAUAAUUAUUAUUUACUUAAAUAACAAAUCAUAAAAAGACUAACUAAUAUUUAAUUCAAACACAUUCUAAUUAUUUUAAUUAAAUAUCUAACCAAAAAUAUUGACCCAUUAAAAAUAGAAAAAUGAGUAUGGAUUUG
This 1146-nucleotide long non-coding RNA is filed under the name Lathyrus oleraceus (garden pea). RNAcentral's name for it is "Pisum sativum (pea) long non-coding RNA (PSAT_LNC037024)". The record is from RNAcentral. Lineage: Eukaryota; Viridiplantae; Streptophyta; Magnoliopsida; Fabales; Fabaceae.